GUGAGGAAUCUUCCGCAAUGGGCGAAAGCCUGACGGAGCGACACCGCGUGAAGGAUGAAGGCCUUUUGGUUGUAAACUUCUUUUCUGGGGGAAUAAAUGAUGAAGGUACCCCAGGAAUAAGCACCGGCUAACUACGUGCCAGCAGCCGCGGUAAUACGUAGGGUGCAAGCGUUAUCCGGAAUUAUUGGGCGUAAAGAGUUCGUAGGUGGUUUGGAAAGUUUGUAAUAAAAACCGGUCGCUCAACGAUCGACUCGUUACAAAAACUGCCAGACUGGAGAAUAACAGAGGCAACUGGAAUUCUGCAUGUAGGGGUUAAAUCCGUUGAUAUGCAGAGGAACACCAAAAGCGAAGGCAGGUUGCUGGGUUAUUUCUGACACUGAGGAACGAAAGCGUGGGUAGCAAACAGGAUUAGAAACCCGGGUAGUCC
Molecule: ribosomal RNA, 427 nt
Filed under: uncultured bacterium
Lineage: Bacteria
Description: bacterial SSU rRNA
Rfam family: Bacterial small subunit ribosomal RNA
Source: RNAcentral